AAUAGAUGGUUUGCCAAACAAGAUGUAUGCAACAAAUGGGCAUUUGGAUUGGAGCAGGUUGGGCGGUUCAGUCCAAGUGUUGCCAAUCAUUCUGAUUGGGCAAUUAAUUGCAUCUUCAACUUGCUAUCACACUGCUAAUUAAUUGUUGAUUUGCUAAUUUGCCAUAUUUUCUCCUUCUUGACAGGUCCAUAUAACUCCAAAGUGCUUCAAGCAAUUGAGAUAGAAGAACGGAAAGCCAGGAAAAAGCCAUUCGGUUUGCAGCACUCAUAUGCUUUGUUUGUCCAUGAUGAGAAGUGGAGGAUAAGGAACGAGGAGAUACCAACCAAAAAAGAGCAAUUCAUGCAACUCCUGUUUAGAAUCUUAGAGAGCUUCGCGAGUGACUUUGAGAAGUCAAGGAGAAACCCUAAUCCAAGCUCAAUGCCUCAAAAGAUAAGUCCGCUUUGAUUUGUCAUGAUUAUUUGAGUAUGUGAUGAUGGCAUGAUUAUUUGUUUCAUUGGAUUGUGCCACUUUUCUUUGUAGAAUAGAAUGUUUGAUGAUGCUUCUUUCAUGAGCAUGAUGGCAGAUGAGGAGAUGAACCAUGUAGAACCAUCACAAGAUGAUGAAUGUUUUGUUGACCCAUCUCCGAUGAAAGGAAGACAAAUGUACUAUACCACUGAAGAGGAUGACAAUUCUGUGUUGGCAUGGGAGGCCAUCACACUGGAUGCAGUCAAUGGAGUUGAGCAAAGUGCCUCAACAUAUUGGCAAUCAGUUGACCAUCGCAUACAGAAGACCCCCCCCCCCCCUCGACAAAAAACACAAAUUUCACUCACAAAUAGAUGGUCUGGCAAACAAGAUGUAUGCAACAAAUGGGUGUGUGCACUGGAGUAGGUUGGGCGGCUCAGUCCAAGUGUGGCCAAUCCUUCAGAUUGGAUCAAUAUAGCUCAAAAGUUCUUCAAGCAAUUGAGAUCAAGAACGAAAAGCCAGGAAAAAGCCAUUCUAUUUGCAGCACUCAUAUGCCUUGCUUGUCCAUGAUGAGAAGUGGAGGACAAGGAAUGAGGAGAUACCAACCAAAAGAGCAAAUCAAGCAACUCCUCUUCUCCUGGAGUUGAGAAUCUUGAGAGCUUCGAGAGUGACUCUGAGGAGGCAAGGAGAAACCCUAAUCCAGGCUCAAUGCCUCAAAAGAAAAGGCCGCUUUGAUUUGCCAUGAUUAUCUAUGUAUGUGAUGAUGGCAUGAUUAUUUGAUUCAUUCGAUUGUGCCACUUCGACUUGUAGAAUAAUUGAUGAUGCUUCUUUCAUGAGCAUGAUGGCAGAUGAGGAGAUGAACGAUGUAGAACCAUCACAAGAUGAUGAAGGUUUUGUUGAUCCAUUUCCGAUGAAA
Brachypodium distachyon (stiff brome) is the source of this 1357-nucleotide long non-coding RNA. RefSeq lists it as uncharacterized. The transcript has 2 exons. The record is from RefSeq and is a predicted model, not a curated record. Lineage: Eukaryota; Viridiplantae; Streptophyta; Magnoliopsida; Poales; Poaceae.